Non-coding RNA from Cajanus cajan (pigeon pea), 4816 nucleotides. Lineage: Eukaryota; Viridiplantae; Streptophyta; Magnoliopsida; Fabales; Fabaceae. The record is from RefSeq and is a predicted model, not a curated record.
UCUCCGCCGUGUCGCGUGACCGUUUUUUCUGCCUCUCUAUAUAAAUGUUUCGUGUCACUCUCUUCUCUCAUUUCCACCUUCAAGAGUCGCUCUCUUCUCACUCUUCAUUUUUUUCCAGUGUAAGAGUCUCUCUGUUUCUUCGAUAGCACUGCCACACGCCAAUGCCUCAUCUUCGGAGUAUUGUUCGGUGGUAAACUGGGUUGACUCUAGAGCCCUCUCCGGUACAAAAAAAGUAAACGAAAACAAAAACUGGAUAAAUGAUUUUUAGAGAUAAAGUGAAUGGAAAGAAGAAUGAUGGAAAGCAUACAAAUCCGUUCUUUCCUAUCAGUUUCUGGGUUGUCUUCCAUUGCGUCCUCUGUUCUCCGCUUCUUCAAGAGCGGAAUAACUAAAGAAGUUGAAGGAGCCACACAAGUUCAAGUAGAACCUCUCGUAUGCAAGUGUGCAUAAUGGAAGCUUUGCAAAUAAAUUUGGAUGGAAAAUCAAGUCAAUAUAAAGACCCUGCAUUGGCACAUCCUUUUUCUCCAGAACAAUAUUCAUUAUAUUGUCAGAUCGGUUCGGAUGUUUGAUGCCAAGGAUUUGCUAGGGGGAUGACUGGGUACAAUGACAUGGGAGGAUUGUUCAGCAGCAUGCAAAUCAAUACAAAAGAAAUACUUGGGCAAAUAUUCUUCAGUGCUUAUCUAUUCAGGGCCUUAGCUCAUCAGGUGGCAGGAGUUGUACUGGUGGCUGUGAUGGUGGAACUGGAAGCAGUAGCGGUGCUUCAAGAGAAAUUGUUAAAGACAGAUAGCCUUUCAAUUGCUUUUUUAUGAGUAAUUUCUUUACUAGUUUUGACACAUCUACAUGUGUUGUGUUAUCAGGUUUGAUGUUAUGUUUGAGGAACUCCAUCGAAAACAAUCUCAGUGGACAGUUCUUGACACCAAACUGGGAGUCUCAGGCUUGCAGUUGCUGAAAUCUUGUUGCCAGCCUAUAGAUCGUUUGUUAAACAUUUUUGGAGUGUUGUUUGGUGGUAAACUGGAUUGACUUUAGAGCCCUCUCUUGUACAGAAAAGAAAAAAGGAAACAAAAGGUGGAUAAAUGAUUUUUAGAGAUAAAGUGAAUGGAAAGAAGAAUGAUGGAAAGGAUACAAAUCCGCCUAUUUCAGGGGUUGGGACUUGGGGUGUGAUCUUGCAUCUUGACAAGAAGUACAAUAAGUGCAAUCAAAUAUAAAAUAACUUUUGAUAUCUCAAAGAUUGGUGAUGCAUUGGUGGCAGUGAAGGUUGAUGGGAAACAUCUGUAGUUGAUAUACUUGAAUAUUGAAACAGAUUGGCCAAAAAGGAUCAGUGAUACUGAUCUGAAUAAUUUCCUUACAUAAAGAGUGAUUAGGGUUACAAGAAGAAAAGGCUACAGAGUAGGCUACAGAGUCUAGAAGCCUAAGUAAUCACAUCAGGAGAAAAGUCCAAUCAGAAAAAUACAAUAAAUAUUUAAAGAAGAAGAAGCUUUCUAAACAAGCUAUUCUAACACUCCUCUUGAAGCUGGUGCAUACAGAUUAUAUGCACCGAGCUUGGAACAUAAAAAUUGAAUUUGAGGCCCCCUUAAUGACUUAGUCAUAACUUCUGCAAGUUGUUCACUGGAAUUGACAAAUUCAGUAAUGAUUUCCUUAGACAGCAACUUCUCUCUCACAAAUGACAACCAACCUCUAUGUGCUUGGUUCUCUCGUGAAAUAUUGGAUUGGAAGCAAUGUGAAGAGCGGCUUGAUUAUCACAAUACAUUUCAUUGGAUAAUCCUCACAAAAUCUUAACUCUUGAAUGAAGGAGUUUUAUUAAUGUGUUAUUGUGAUUAAAUUUAUUAUUGUUCAAUCUAUAGAUCUUCAAGACAGCUACAUCAAUCAAUGGCUGAUCAAGAUGACAUUUUGCCCUUUGAGACAGCAAAUCAUUUAGUUUCUCUUCCACCUACUGCAGUCCCUAACACAAGUAGAAUGUCACCUUCUCGUAGUUUUGAUUCACGUAAAAAUCGAUCUAAAGUAUGGGAUCAUUUCACUAAGGAAUCCAAUGAAGAUAAGACAGCUAAAUGCAACUAUUGUGAUAGGUUGAUCAAAUUUGAAAAUGGAACAAGUGCAAUGCGAGCUCAUCUACGUAGAUGCCAAAAUAACCCAGAUAAAGAAGCAAGAAAGAAGCAAAAGUCAAAUUCAUCCACAAAUGUUGUUUCUUCUCCUUCCUUGGCUAGGCCUAAAAUUGACCAAGAAGCAUGUUGGAAUGCACUGGUCAAAAUGUUCAUAGCAAUGAAACUCCCCUUUCGAAAUAUUGAGCAUGAAGCUUUGCGAGAAUUUUUAAGCAUUAUAGCACCCUCUCUUACUGUCUACUCACGCACUACCCUAGCACGUCACAUUUUGAAACUUUGGGAUAGUGAAAAAGCAAAGAUAAAAAAGUUUCUUUCACGUCAAAAUCUAUGUUACAUAUGUUUGACAACUCAUUUCAUCGACAAUAACUGGAAGUUGCAAAAGAAGAUAUUAAAUUUUUGUCAAAUCACAAGUCACUCGGGAAAGACUAUGGCUAAGAUAGUUGAGUUGCUUGAGUAGUUGGAGCUUGAAUCGGGUCCUUAGUUUAACAGUUGAUAAUGCCCCAUUGAAUGAUGUUGGAAUCUAAUAUCUCAAGAAGAGACUAAUGUCAUGGAAUAGUUUGGUUAUGAAGGGAGAUUAUGUUAACAUGCAUUGUUGUGCACAUAUUCUGAAUUUAAUUGUGAAAGAUGGAUUCAAAGAAAAUAUUGAUGUUGUUAUGAGAAUUCGUGCCGCUGUCAAAUAUGUAAAAUCUUCCCCUUCUAGGCUAUCUAAAUUCAAGGCAUGUGUUAAGCAACGAAACAUUGAAUUUGAAGGGCUUGUUUGCCUAGAUGUUGAAACCAGGUGGAAUUCUACAUACUUAAUGUUGGAGGCUGCAUUAAAACAUCAAAAGGCAUUUAAAGAUCUUGAGAUGCAAGAUAAAAAAUACAUUGAAGAGUUAGAAAAAGGGAAGGGUGUUCCUACAUUUGGUGAUUGGGAGUUUGUGCGUGGUAUCUUGCCAUUUUUAAAGUUGUUUUAUGAUGCUACUAUGCAUAUCUCUGGUUCAUCUUAUGUGACUAGCAAUAUGUACAUGUUUGAGGCCUUCGGUAUUGGAAUAAAGAUUAAGUAAAUGUGUGCUUCCAAGGAUGUGAUUAUAAGUAUGAUGGCUGAAAACAUGAAACAGAAAUAUGAUAAAUAUGGGACAAUCUUGAUUGACUGAACAUGUUAUUAUUGAUUGCUCUUGUGUUGCAUCCAAGAUAUAAAUUAAAAUUCAUGCAUUGGUUGAUUAAUCAAAGUUUUGAUGGUGUUGUGGCAUCUAAUUUGAAAGACAAAAUGGAAUAAAGUAUAAGAUGACUUUUUGAAGAGUAUAAUGGUGGGAGAAUUGAGUCUGAAGCUAAACUCACAGGAAGCUCGACUCAAUGAAGAAGCAAGUGACGAUCCUUAUGGCUACAACCAGUUUUUCAAAUCAACUGGAUCUCCUAAAUCUGAAUUAAGUAAAUACUUAGAGGAAGCCUUAGAAGAGAGUCAAAGAGAUUUGGAUGUUUUAAAUUGGUGGAAGCUAAAUUCGGGUCGAUUUCCAAUUCUUUCAAACAUGGCAAGAGAUUUGCUUGCUAUACCUGUUUCUACUGUGGCCUCUGAAUCUGCCUUUAGUACCGGUGGAAGAGUUCUUGAUGCAUAUCGUAGUUCUCUUACACCACAAAUGGUGGAAGCACUUAUUUGCAUGCAAGAUUGGCUCAAAGGGACACUUCCACCAUUGUCCUUGAAUGAAAUAGAGGAUUUUGUGGAGCUUGAUAAAUUUGAACAAGGUAUUGUCCCCUCACAAGACGGUGCUUAUUCAGCCUCCUCCAUUACACUUGAUGAUGAUUAGAGAAACACUUACAUUAUAGUUUACACUUGUGUUCGUGUCUAUGUGUGAGAAAGAUUAACAGGAUAAUAUGAUCCUCUUGGCUUGUUUGUUAUGGAUUCUCGUGUGGUUGGGUUUCUUCUAGAUUAGUAGAAGCUGGACAAUAAGGAAUGUUGUGCACUUUCUAGUUGUAUGUUUUAUUUAGAUGAAUGAUUCAGGGUUUCUGAUCACAACAUUUCCUUCUUUUUUUAUUUUUUAUCAUCUUUAAUUAAAUAUUUCAUAUGCUACUGAAAGAGUCAUAAUUUGAAUGUGAGAUGUUUCGUGUUAGUCCUUUGAAAGAAAAUCUUGUUCCUUUUCCUCAUUGUAUAUUGCAGAUGGAGUUCAGUCCUAUAAAUUCUAGUUAUCUUUUGUUUGCUGCCACAGUGCCAGUGACCUCUCUGUUCAACUUGAAUUUCGCGGUGGUUAGGUCUUUACGUUGCUGGAUUCUGCAGGUGUACAUCAUCUGAAGAGAUUAUCAAGUGCCAGUAUCACCCAUAUCCAUCUACUGCCAACAUUUCAUUUUGCUGGGGUUGAUGUUCAAAAGGAGAGAACUGGAGAUUUGUAGAUUGAUUCACGCCUCUUAUCCAUUUGGUUUGAAGCUUGUGACUAAGAUAUGUGAUACUACAAUACUGGAAAGUUUGCCACCUGAUUCAGAUCAGCAACAAGCUCUCAUCACAGCAAUCCAAAACUUUGAUGGAUACAAUUGGGGGUACAACCCUGUUCUUUGGGGCGUUCCUAAAGGCAGUUAUGCAAGUAAUCCAAAUGGUCCUUACCGUACAAUUGAGUUUCGUGAGAUGGUUAAGGUCUGAAUUUAUUACUUUCUAGCCAAAGAAGUUAGAUCCAUAAAUCCUAUUUUCUAUUUAAUUUUGUAAUGUAGAUCGUAAUACUAUUGUAUACAAUCAAUUAAAUCUAUUUUUUAUUGUUGUC